Molecule: long non-coding RNA, 594 nt
Organism: Carassius auratus (goldfish)
Lineage: Eukaryota; Metazoa; Chordata; Actinopteri; Cypriniformes; Cyprinidae
Exons: 3
Source: RefSeq, a predicted model, not a curated record
GAGCGCAGCGCGAGCCUGGACAGAGUCAUUGCGCGCGCCAGAGGCCACUCGCUCUAUUUAUCCAACAAGUGCCCGUCCGUUUCUCUCGUUCUCUCUCUCUCUCUCUCUUUCUGGGACCGUUCAACGAUUUGUCUUUGCCUUUGAAAUGUCAAUUACGCAUGCUAGUAACUACAUUAAAACGACAGCGAAGCGGAGGAACGUGUAGACAUAAUCCUUCAAUGUUUAGUGACCAGACGCGACAACUUUUAGGGAAUAAUUGAAAAUGGCAAUGUGCUUGCUAAAACGUUUGCGGCGUCCUGGUCGUUAGUGUCAGCAGUUGUCUUUUUUCCCCUCUGUUUUUAAUUUAAUUUUUAUUUUUUAGUUGAAUUUUAGUUCAAUUGCUUUAGUUUACAUACAACCACUAAUCACAACUAAGAGAUUCGGUAAGGAGGUGUUGGCGAAGAGAGUUUUGACAGGAAAGUAAUGGAAGAUGAUGAGCCCGCAUCGCCGGACCCGAACCACGACACCACUCAGAGUAAAAGAGGAAAUCCAGUGCAUAAGAAAUCCCAUCUAAAGAAAGACAGCAGUUCACACAUGCUGUGAAGAUGAUGCGAG